This 590-nucleotide ribosomal RNA is filed under the name uncultured Burkholderia sp. RNAcentral's name for it is "bacterial SSU rRNA". It matches the Rfam family "Bacterial small subunit ribosomal RNA", at positions 418 to 1002 of the family's 1533-position model. The record is from RNAcentral. Lineage: Bacteria; Pseudomonadati; Pseudomonadota; Betaproteobacteria; Burkholderiales; Burkholderiaceae.
UCGGGUUGUAAAGCACUUUUGUCCGGAAAGAAAACUUCUGCCCUAAUACGGUGGGAGGAUGACGGUACCGGAAGAAUAAGCACCGGCUAACUACGUGCCAGCAGCGCGGUAAUCGUAGGGUGCGAGCGUUAAUCGGAAUUACUGGGCGUAAAGCGUGCGCAGGCGGUUCGUUAAGACAGAUGUGAAAUCCCCGGGCUUAACCUGGGAACUGCAUUUGUGACUGGCGAGCUAGAGUAUGGCAGAGGGGGGUAGAAUUCCACGUGUAGCAGUGAAAUGCGUAGAGAUGUGGAGGAAUACCGAUGGCGAAGGCAGCCCCCUGGGCCAAUACUGACGCUCAUGCACGAAAGCGUGGGGAGCAAACAGGAUUAGAUACCCUGGUAGUCCACGCCCUAAACGAUGUCAACUAGUUGUUGGGGAUUCAUUUCCUUAGUAACGUAGCUAACGCGUGAAGUUGACCGCCUGGGGAGUACGGUCGCAAGAUUAAAACUCAAAGGAAUUGACGGGGACCCGCACAAGCGGUGGAUGAUGGUGGAUUAAUUCGAUGCAACGCGAAAAACCUUACCUACCCUUGACAUGGUCGGAACCUGCUG